Puntigrus tetrazona (Sumatra barb) is the source of this 1836-nucleotide long non-coding RNA. RefSeq lists it as uncharacterized. The record is from RefSeq and is a predicted model, not a curated record. NCBI's taxonomy places the organism in Eukaryota, Metazoa, Chordata, Actinopteri, Cypriniformes, Cyprinidae. The transcript has 2 exons.
AUCAAACUACAAUUUUCUACGAUUUUAAUCGUAGAAAUUCCAAUAAAUAUGCAUUGUAUAUCAAACAACUUUUCCCGCCUUGGUAACGAUCACAACUCCUUUCACUAACGUCUGUCUUUCUUACCGCUGCAUUUCUGAUCUUCGUCUUUCUUCUUCUGCAUGUUUUCGCUGGCUGUCUCUGUCUCCACUCUUUCUGGCGCCCUCUGCUGUCUGGCUUUUGUCAAAGCAGCCUCCAGAAGACAAAAGCUGGGUAUAUUCUCCUCUGCACUUCAGCUCAGGUCCUAAAACCCUGCCAGAGGAUGAAGGGGAGAGUGAAACAUAAUCAGACCUCAGGAAAGAGGGGCAGCUAUGAGGUCCGGACUCUUCAGACGUCCGGAAGCUAUACUGGUCGGACUUUCUCGCAACUUAAGUUUUCAUCGUCCUUUCACCCAUUCCAUAAACAACACCAAGCAAGUAGUAAUACCAAUGUCCAGAUGUAUUUAUGAGUAAUAAUGAGACUAUUUAUGUUUAUUAUUUUUGGAUUGUUUUGUGUUUCCUUAAUUGUCUAAUUUACAUACUGUGAACAUGUUUUCCGAUUUGACUCCAGACUUUGUUUUUGGUUUUUUUUGUUGACCUUAAGUUGUUAAUGCACCUUUAUCAGGUAGCAUUGUUUGUUUCGUAACUGUUAAAAAAAGGUCAUAUAUAUAUAUAUAUAAAAUACACAAACAUUGUUUUAUUUUUAUUGGUUUUCUGUAAAAUAUUACGCCAGCAAUAGUGUUCAACGUUACGAAAAUUCCAACAAGUGGCUGUUUGACUUGUGAAAUUUGGCAAUAACCAAAGUCCCAUGUUUUUUUUUUUACGUUUUAUUUUAACGUAAUAAUUAGGACUGAUAACAUAUGCUGGAUGUUACAGGGACUUACACUUUCCGCAUCACCUGAUCCUUUUUUUUUAUAUAUAUUUAAAUUUUUUUCCCGCCAAAAUCCAGUACAAAGUGAUCACGGCCUGGUUAUUAAAAGACAUGUUAAACUGAAAGAUGGGACCAAACUUAUUACGUGGGAGGCCAAAUAUGUAAAGCGACUUGUUACCAUAAUCGCAAUCAGAAAUAUUUGUUAUAGCAUUCAAUUGUAAAUCCACGUGUAUAGAAUUUGUGUGUGUGCGUGCCUAUGCAUUGAGUGUAUUUGUGGUUUUAAGCGAGCAUCUCACUUUACAAUGGAAGCGUGCAACACUGAUUCUUAUCAUGUGCAGUGGCCAGUUGCUGCUGUGUCCAAAAUAAAGGGACUACUGCAGUAAUACAUUUGUAAAGUGUAGCACACGCAUAUUUUGGUUGCCUUAAUCAUUUUAUUUGCCAACCUAAAUCCUACUAUUCACUGAUUCGGUCUUUCUUUCUGGUUCACCAAUGAUAGUGUCUUAGAGAACUUGUACAUAGAUCUUUAAAUACAUAUAAAAUCUAUUUUAAAUGUUAUUUGAAGGUUUCUUUUGUAUUUUAUUUUGCACAAGUGGCUUGCGAACGGUGUCCUAUAGGUCCACACGAACCCACUCAUUCUUCCAGCAUCCAGGAUGUUUUUCUUUCGUUCAAGUCUGUUUUUUUUGUAUCAUGUGUGUACACUUUACAGUUGGGAUUGUAAAGUCUAUACAAAGACAUAAAAUUGUAUCAAUCGCUUACUCUUCCAAGCUGUGUGCGUGUGUAUGUGUGGUCAGAAAAGCUGUGUGCCCCCCUAAAUAGCAAAAGAGCAUGAUGAAAUGUGAGUCUAUUGACAUUGAUGUACAGCAAAGACAUUUAUCUCUAUGGACAGACCACGACCAAUGGACUGAUGUGUGUACAUUUGUUCAGAUCCUUAAAUAAAUACAACUCAUGGG